GAUGAACGCUGGCGGCGUGCUUAACACAUGCAAGUCGAACGAAGCAGUACUGUGUGAAGAGAUUAGCUUGCUAAGAUCAGAACUUUGUAUUGACUGAGUGGCGGACGGGUGAGUAACGCGUGGGCAACCUGCCUUACACAGGGGGAUAACAGCUAGAAAUGGCUGCUAAUACCGCAUAAGACCUCAGUACCGCACGGUAGAGGGGUAAAAACUCCGGUGGUGUAAGAUGGGCCCGCGUCUGAUUAGGUAGUUGGUAGGGUAACGGCCUACCAAGCCGACGAUCAGUAGCCGACCUGAGAGGGUGACCGGCCACAUUGGGACUGAGACACGGCCCAAACUCCUACGGGAGGCAGCAGUGGGGAAUAUUGCACAAUGGGGGAAACCCUGAUGCAGCGACGCCGCGUGAAGGAUGAAGUAUUUCGGUAUGUAAACUUCUAUCAGCAGGGAAGAAGAUGACGGUACCUGACUAAGAAGCCCCGGCUAACUACGUGCCAGCAGCCGCGGUAAUACGUAGGGGGCAAGCGUUAUCCGGAUUUACUGGGUGUAAAGGGAGCGUAGACGGCAUGGCAAGUCUGAAGUGAAAGCCCGGGGCUCAACCCCGGGACUGCUUUGGAAACUGUCAGGCUAGAGUGUCGGAGAGGCAAGUGGAAUUCCUAGUGUAGCGGUGAAAUGCGUAGAUAUUAGGAGGAACACCAGUGGCGAAGGCGGCUUGCUGGA
RNAcentral lists this ribosomal RNA (717 nucleotides) under uncultured Lachnospiraceae bacterium. RNAcentral's name for it is "bacterial SSU rRNA". It matches the Rfam family "Bacterial small subunit ribosomal RNA", at positions 28 to 733 of the family's 1533-position model. Lineage: Bacteria; Bacillati; Bacillota; Clostridia; Lachnospirales; Lachnospiraceae. The record is from RNAcentral.